Molecule: ribosomal RNA, 253 nt
Filed under: uncultured bacterium
Lineage: Bacteria
Description: partial 16S ribosomal RNA
Rfam family: Bacterial small subunit ribosomal RNA
Source: RNAcentral
UACGUAGGGACCAAGCGUUGUUCGGAUUUACUGGGCGUAAAGGGCGCGUAGGCGGCUCUGUAAGUCACUUGUGAAAUCUCUGAGCUUAACUCAGAACGGCCAAGUGAUACUGCAGUGCUAGAGUGUAGAAGGGGCAAUCGGAAUUCUUGGUGUAGCGGUGAAAUGCGUAGAUAUCAAGAGGAACACUCGUGGCGAAAGCGAGCUACUGGACAAUAUCUGACGCUGAGGCUCGAAGGCCAGGGUAGCGAAAGGG